UUCUGCUUAAUUAUGUUAACAAAUGAGACCUUAACCUGCUAAAUAGUUAUGCCAACUUCUUAGAGGGACUGUUGGCAUCAAGCUGACAGAAGUUUGAGGCAAUAACAGGUCUAUUAUGCCCUUAGAUGUCCUGGGCUGCACACACACUACACUGAUGAAGUCAACAAGUUUAUAACCUUGGCCAGAAGGUCUGGGUAAUCUUUUGAAACUUCAUCAUGCUGGGGAUAGGGCAUUGCAAUG
This 240-nucleotide ribosomal RNA is filed under the name uncultured fungus. RNAcentral describes it as "partial small subunit ribosomal RNA". It matches the Rfam family "Eukaryotic small subunit ribosomal RNA", at positions 1313 to 1591 of the family's 1831-position model. The record is from RNAcentral. Lineage: Eukaryota; Fungi.